GGCCAGUGAUGAUAGAUAUUGUUCGUACCAUCUGAGAGAGUCUUUCCAAAAGGCUCCUCUGAUUACGUAAUCUAAUCCCAGCUCUCUGAGGCCU
Rhododendron vialii is the source of this 94-nucleotide small nucleolar RNA. RefSeq annotates it as small nucleolar RNA snoR117. The transcript has a single exon. NCBI's taxonomy places the organism in Eukaryota, Viridiplantae, Streptophyta, Magnoliopsida, Ericales, Ericaceae. The record is from RefSeq and is a predicted model, not a curated record.